GAUGAACGCUGACAGAAUGCUUAACACAUGCAAGUCAACUUGAACUUCGGUUUGGGUGGCGGACGGGUGAGUAACGCGUAAAGAACUUGCCUCACAGCUAGGGACAACAUUUGGAAACGAAUGCUAAUACCUGAUAUUAUGAUUUUAGGGCAUCCUAGAAUUAUGAAAGCUAUAUGCGCUGUGAGAGAGCUUUGCGUCCCAUUAGCUAGUUGGAGAGGUAACGGCUCACCAAGGCGAUGAUGGGUAGCCGGCCUGAGAGGGUGAACGGCCACAAGGGGACUGAGACACGGCCCGUACUCCUACGGGAGGCAGCAGUGGGGAAUAUUGGACAAUGGACCAAGAGUCUGAUCCAGCAAUUCUGUGUGCACGAUGAAGUUUUUCGGAAUGUAAAGUGCUUUCAGUUGGGAAGAAAAAAAUGACGGUACCAACAGAAGAAGUGACGGCUAAAUACGUG
Molecule: ribosomal RNA, 454 nt
Filed under: uncultured bacterium
Lineage: Bacteria
Description: partial 16S ribosomal RNA
Rfam family: Bacterial small subunit ribosomal RNA
Source: RNAcentral